RNAcentral lists this long non-coding RNA (3686 nucleotides) under Lupinus angustifolius (narrow-leaved blue lupine). RNAcentral describes it as "long non-coding RNA (LANG_LNC001531)". The record is from RNAcentral. Lineage: Eukaryota; Viridiplantae; Streptophyta; Magnoliopsida; Fabales; Fabaceae.
GAAGUACUUGAUGGUUGUCUUAAGAAUAAGAUUGAAAUCCCUUGGUCUGAUAUCAUGGCUCUCAAAGCUAACUACCCUGAUGAUGCACCUGGAACAAUGGAAGUUGUAGUAAGUAUCUCUCUUUUGUAGGACUUUAACCUUCUUUAACAAUAAUAGUUUGAUGUCAUGUAUUGACUUAGUUUUAGGACAGUGAGUAUAUGUAUUUAUAUACUUUUGUUUAGGCCCCACUAGAUUCUCAGAUAGACAGAAAAGGUUAAACGAUUCCGGAGAGUGACAACUGUGACAAUUGUUGGGAGUGACAACCCCACAUACCGAACAUACAAAUAUUUUUUACUUAAUUCAUUCUUUACUGAUAUUGGACUUUAACCUUCUUAUAGACCAUAAUAGUUUGAUGCCAUGUAUUGACCCAAAGUUUUGAGAUAAUGAGAAUGUCUCUUCUAGCUUAUAUACUUUUUACUUAAAUUUAUUCUUCACCAAUAUUGAACUUUGACCUUCAAGACUUGGAUUUCUAAUAUUUGUAAACCUCAUUCUUUAAUAAUUAUAGUCAACUAUAUAUCAUGCAUUGACCUAAAAUUUUAAGAUAAUGAGUUUAUGCCUUUAAGGGUUUCUUACUUAUAUUCUCUUUACUUAAUUCAUAUUUCACCAAUAUGAGACGCUUUGUUGAAGCGUUUCUCGAUAUUUUUGUUGUUACUAGAUUUAGGACCAUGCUAAGUUAGUGAUCUUGUUUGUUAUAGCUGUCUAGAAGACCCUUAUUUUUUAGGGAGAUCAAUCCACAACCAAGGAAGCAUACUUUGUGGCAGGCAACAUCGGACUUCACCGGCGGACAAGCUAGCAUACACAGGUACUAUAAGUGUUCUUCUUUCGGAAUCUAAUAAUUGAGUGGUGUUUUUACUUUAGAUUUGUUGGUGAAGCAAAAGCAACAUUAGUACUGAUGUAAUUCUUCGCUAUAUUGUUGCAGGCGACAUUUUAUGCAGUGUCCACAAGGAUUGUUGGGGAAGCAUUUUGAGAAGCUCAUUCAGUGUGAUCCGCGUCUCAACUUUUUAAGUCAACAGUCAGAUUCGGUGCUGGAUAGUCCUUAUUUUGAACCCGGAACUGACCGAAUGGAAUCAAGUAGUGGGUUUGAUAGAAAAAGUGAAGGGCAAACCAGUCUUUUCGGAUUGAAGGAUAUGGAUUCAGGAUCUGGAGUUCAACCUACUUCCUCAAAAAAUGAACAUAAUCUUCUUGGUAAAUCUGUUGAAAAUGUUCCCGGAGAAAUUGCUUCAACUAGCUCAGGUAAUUGCUGUGGACUUUAUAUAACAUUUAAAUUUAGCAUGCAUGUAAAUGCACCUCUUUAUUCUUUAAACAUACAACAUUUGCAUUGAUACUUUUAUAUACCAUAAUGUGUGAAGUUCUUGGGUUUUUCAUAAGGUUAAGUAUUUAGUAGCUAUAUUUGUUUCAAGGUUAACUGAAAAUGAUUCAGGAAAUGCUUAGUGUUUGGUUAAGCUGCAUGAAAUGUGAUUCAAUAUCCUUAUCCUAUACAUAUCUUAUGUUUUACUAUCACAAUUUGCAAAACAUAUCACGCGUGAAGAAAUCGUAAAUCGGUUCUGUAACCUGUAUCUUUUCUUGAGAUUUUUGCCAUUACACUAUAGAAUUAUAAUCAUACAGUAACGACAAUCACGCCUAUUUCCUACUAGGUAGGGUAGGCUAGAUGGAUCUAAUAUACAAUAAUAACAAUCAAUCUCCACAGAUAAACCAUCGAUAUAUAUAAAUCGUGCGUAAGAAUUUCAUAUAUAGAUUUUUUUGCUCUUUGUUAUGAUCAUUGAAAGCUUAUAUAUAAUGCCUUAUUUAUCAUAUGCAGUGAUGAACACUCAUGCAAUGAAGGAUUCCAGAAGUAGAGGUGCUGAAACAUUGAAGCUUCUUAGUAAUCUAGACCAAAUCAAAUUACCUGGACUUAACCCUUCAAUGUCGAUGAAUGAUUUAGUAAACCACAUCGGAAAUUGCAUUUUGGAACAAUGUGACAGCCAAUAUAACAGAUCCAUUUUAGAAGAAUUCACACAAUCUUUGUUCAAUGACACUCAGCUCAUAACAGCAGCUUCUGAUGAACAAUAUGUAAUGUCUAGAGUGAACUCAUUAUAUUCACUUCUACAAAAAGACCCUUCAAUAGAAGACACAACAAUGAUGAAUCAUAACAUUGACACUACUCAUGCAUCAAUAUCAGCAUCAUGCAAAAGCAAAGAGGUUGAAUUUGAAGGUCAGAAAGAUGAUGAUUAUGGUUUCAAGCAUGAAAGUGGAAUAUCUAGAAAGGAAUCAGUUGGUGAGUUGUUAAAUAAUCUUCCAAGAAUUGCAUCAUUGCCACAGUUUCUAUAUCACAUGCCUCAGGAUUCUGGUAGUAAUCAUGGUAGAUAAUGUGCUAAUGCAUGCAAGAGUGAAGAAAACUUUUGAUGCAGUUUUUCAACAGUGUGAAUAUUUUAUAUAACAGCUAUUUACUUGACUCUAGUGGGAUUCAGAAAUUCACAUUGAUGAAGAUUCCCUCUGAACAUAAUGGAAUGUCUCUAAGUUGAAAAGGAUGCAGCAUAAUCUGUGUUUUACUUCUUUUUUUGAAUGUGGAAACUCAUUUUAUUAAGGUUGUAGUUGAUGCUAUUUGAGGUAGUUUAAAUUUUGUGCAAGUUUUAUAAGUUUGAAACUGGCUUCAAAGCUUAAAAAAGAAUUUGGUUCAUAAUCUCCUCUUAUGAUAUGCUUUUAUUGAAUAAGUGUGUAUGGAAUAGGUGUUCAACUAGUUGUGUUCUGUAGUUUAAAAAAAAGCUUAUAGACAGGUGACAAGGGGGAAACAUAUUCCGUUAGAUUAAGUUUUUUACCUUAUAUAGAGUUUGAGUCUGAUAUGUUUACCUGAAAUUUUUUCAAAGUCUAAGUUUCACAUGUUUAAAAGUUGACUUGUUAGCCUAUUUAGAGGAUCUUAUACUAUAAGGUCUUGAAAUAGGUCAAUAUGUCUACAUUUAAAUAGGCUAAUAGAUCUAUUUUUAAUUAGAUUCUUCAUCCAAAGCUAACUACCCUGAUGAUGCACCUGGAACAAUGGAAGUUGUAGUAAGUAUCUCUCUUUUGUAGGACUUUAACCUUCUUUAACAAUAAUAGUUUGAUGUCAUGUAUUGACUUAGUUUUAGGACAGUGAGUAUAUGUAUUUAUAUACUUUUGUUUAGGCCCCACUAGAUUCUCAGAUAGACAGAAAAGGUUAAACGAUUCCGGAGAGUGACAACUGUGACAAUUGUUGGGAGUGACAACCCCACAUACCGAACAUACAAAUAUUUUUUACUUAAUUCAUUCUUUACUGAUAUUGGACUUUAACCUUCUUAUAGACCAUAAUAGUUUGAUGCCAUGUAUUGACCCAAAGUUUUGAGAUAAUGAGAAUGUCUCUUCUAGCUUAUAUACUUUUUACUUAAAUUUAUUCUUCACCAAUAUUGAACUUUGACCUUCAAGACUUGGAUUUCUAAUAUUUGUAAACCUCAUUCUUUAAUAAUUAUAGUCAACUAUAUAUCAUGCAUUGACCUAAAAUUUUAAGAUAAUGAGUUUAUGCCUUUAAGGGUUUCUUACUUAUAUUCUCUUUACUUAAUUCAUAUUUCACCAAUAUGAGACGCUUUGUUGAAGCGUUUCUCGAUAUUUUUGUUGUUACUAGAUUUAGGACCAUGCUAAGUUAGUGAUCUUGUUUGUUAUAG